ACCCCCUGGCAAUGGGCAAAGAGACACCUUGCUGGUGGCGCUGCUCUUCUAUCAGUCAGGGGAGGGCAGAUGGCAGUCCUUUGUUCGUCCUAGCUUGACAUCUGGCUUGCUGGCCAAAGCUGACUUAGGCCUAGGACUCAUAA
Apodemus sylvaticus (European woodmouse) is the source of this 143-nucleotide small nucleolar RNA. RefSeq annotates it as small nucleolar RNA SNORA48. The record is from RefSeq and is a predicted model, not a curated record. The transcript has a single exon. Lineage: Eukaryota; Metazoa; Chordata; Mammalia; Rodentia; Muridae.